AUAAUAUAUUACCGCACAUAUACGGUAACUAAAUUUGGCCGUGAUAUAUCGUUUCAGUCGUCCUUUUUCUGGUUGCGAUCUGAUUGUUGCUCGUCCACAC
Small nucleolar RNA from Raphanus sativus (radish), 100 nucleotides. RefSeq annotates it as small nucleolar RNA snoR111. The transcript has a single exon. The record is from RefSeq and is a predicted model, not a curated record. NCBI's taxonomy places the organism in Eukaryota, Viridiplantae, Streptophyta, Magnoliopsida, Brassicales, Brassicaceae.